RNAcentral lists this long non-coding RNA (205 nucleotides) under Chinchilla lanigera (long-tailed chinchilla). Its description in RNAcentral is "lncRNA (ENSCLAG00000027403.1)". The record is from RNAcentral. Lineage: Eukaryota; Metazoa; Chordata; Mammalia; Rodentia; Chinchillidae.
GUGGAAAUCCAUUUUGCUACGCUAUCCAAUUGCAGUCAUAUUUUGUAAUCAGUGCUUUUGGCCAAAUGCACAGUGUAAAUUAUAUGGAAAAAUGAGAAGACAUGUUCUGUCUCAUGCCGUUGCCAGUCUCUUAAUCUGGAGUGACAACCACAACCACAGCGAGAAUCACUGUGAAAUCCAGCAACGUAAGCACCUCCACGUGUGA